This 428-nucleotide ribosomal RNA is filed under the name Bacillota bacterium. RNAcentral describes it as "Firmicutes bacterium partial 16S ribosomal RNA". It matches the Rfam family "Bacterial small subunit ribosomal RNA", at positions 355 to 776 of the family's 1533-position model. Lineage: Bacteria; Bacillati; Bacillota. The record is from RNAcentral.
UGGGGAAUCUUGCGCAAUGGGCGAAAGCCUGACGCAGCGACGCCGCGUGGGGGAAGAAGGCCUUCGGGUUGUAAACCUCUUUCAGCAGGGACGAAGCCACUCGGGUGAAUAGCCCAGAGGGUGACGGUACCUGCAGAAGAAGCCCCGGCUAACUACGUGCCAGCAGCCGCGGUAAUACGUAGGGGGCAAGCGUUGUCCGGAUUUAUUGGGCGUAAAGAGCGUGUAGGCGGCCAGACAGGUCCGUUGUGAAAACUAGAGGCUUAACCUCUAGACGGCGAUGGAAACCGUCUGGCUAGAGUCCGGAAGAGGAGAAUGGAAUUCCUGGUGUAGCGGUGAAAUGCGCAGAUAUCAGGAAGAACACCCGUGGCUAAGGCGGUUCUCUAGUACGGUACUGACGCUGAGACGCGAAAGCGUGGGGAGCGAACAGG